GGGGCUGGGGCUCAGCGGUAGUGCACUUGCCUGGCAUGUGUGAGGCACUGGGUUCGACUCUCAGCACCUCCU
This is a non-coding RNA of Ictidomys tridecemlineatus (thirteen-lined ground squirrel), 72 nucleotides long. NCBI's taxonomy places the organism in Eukaryota, Metazoa, Chordata, Mammalia, Rodentia, Sciuridae. The record is from Rfam.